This 253-nucleotide ribosomal RNA is filed under the name uncultured bacterium. RNAcentral's name for it is "partial 16S ribosomal RNA". It matches the Rfam family "Bacterial small subunit ribosomal RNA", at positions 524 to 776 of the family's 1533-position model. The record is from RNAcentral.
UACAGAGGGUGCGAGCGUUGUCCGGAAUCACUGGGCGUAAAGGGCGCGUAGGCGGCCUGAUAAGUAGGGGGUGAAAUCUUGCGGCUCAACCGCAAGGCUGCCUUCUAAACUGUCAGGCUGGAGCACGGUAGAGGCAGAUGGAAUUCCCGGUGUAGCGGUGGAAUGCGUAGAGAUCGGGAAGAACACCAGUGGCGAAGGCGGUCUGCUGGGCCGUUGCUGACGCUGAGGAGCGAAAGCGUGGGGAGCAAACAGG